GACGAACGCUGGCGGCGUGCUUAACACAUGCAAGUCGAACGGAAAGGCCCUGCUUUUGUGGGGUGCUCGAGUGGCGAACGGGUGAGUAACACGUGAGUAACCUGCCCUUGACUUUGGGAUAACUUCAGGAAACUGGGGCUAAUACCGGAUAGGAGCUCCUGCUGCAUGGUGGGGGUUGGAAAGUUUCGGCGGUUGGGGAUGGACUCGCGGCUUAUCGGCUUGUUGGUGGGGUAGUGGCUUACCAAGGCUUUGACGGGUAGCCGGCCUGAGAGGGUGACCGGCCACAUUGGGACUGAGAUACGGCCCAGACUCCUACGGGAUGCAGCAGUGGGGAAUAUUGCACAAUGGGCGGAAGCCUGAUGCAGCAACGCCGCGUGCGGGAUGACGGCCUUCGGGUUGUAAACCGCUUUCGCCUGUGACGAAGCGUGAGUGACGGUAAUGGGUAAAGAAGCACCGGCUAACUACGUG
This 468-nucleotide ribosomal RNA is filed under the name uncultured bacterium. RNAcentral describes it as "partial 16S ribosomal RNA". It matches the Rfam family "Bacterial small subunit ribosomal RNA", at positions 28 to 507 of the family's 1533-position model. The record is from RNAcentral.